AGAGUUUGAUCCUGGCUCAGAACGAACGUUGGCGGCGUGGAUUAGGCAUGCAAGUCGAACGAAUCCCAGCCUUCCACAGUGGGCAGUAGGCAGCGGCAGUAGGCAGUAAGAAAACUGCCGAGUGCCGACUGCUGCUGCGUACUGUGGAGGGCUGGGGGAAGUGGCGAAAGGGGCAGUAAGGCGUGGGUAACCUACCCCGGGGACCGGGAUAGCCUUCCUAACGGGAGGAUAAUACCGGGCGAUUUGGCGAGGGGGCAUCCUCUUGCCAGGAAAUGAGUUUCGCCUCGGGAGGGGCUCACGUGAUAUUAGCUUGUUGGCGGGGGGACGGCCCACCAAGGCAAAGAUGUCUAGCGGGUGUGAGAGCACGACCCGCGCCACUGGCACUGAGACACUGGCCAGACUCCUACGGGAGGCUGCAGUCGAGGAUCUUCGGCAAUGGGCGCAAGCCUGACCGAGCGACGCCGCGUGCGCGAUGAAGGCCUUCGGGUUGUAAAGCGCUGUCGAGGGGGAGGAAGCUCCGCAAGGGGUUGACCUAUCCCUGGAGGAAGCACGGGCUAAGUUCGUGCCAGCAGCCGCGGUAAGACGAACCGUGCGAACGUUGUUCGGAUUCACUGGGCUUAAAGGGCGCGUAGGCGGGUCAGCAAGUCCGGGGUGAAAGCUUUCGGCUCAACCGGAAAAGGGCCUUGGAUACUGCUGGUCUGGAGGAAGGUAGGGGCGUGUGGAACUUCCGGUGGAGCGGUGAAAUGCGUAGAUAUCGGAAGGAACGCCGGUGGCGAAAGCGACACGCUGGACCUUUUCUGACGCUGAGGCGCGAAAGCCAGGGGAGCAAACGGGAUUAGAUACCCUCGUAGUCC
This 854-nucleotide ribosomal RNA is filed under the name uncultured bacterium. Its description in RNAcentral is "bacterial SSU rRNA". It matches the Rfam family "Bacterial small subunit ribosomal RNA", at positions 8 to 796 of the family's 1533-position model. The record is from RNAcentral.